GGCGUCGGGAAACUGACGGGAAUCCCCCAUACCGGUCUCACGCUGGAAUGCCGAGACCGACAAACGUUCCGGCGCUGCAGGAUGCGGCUGCGGCCGAUUAGGUAGUCGGUGGGGUAACGACCCACCGAGCCGAUAAUUGGUGCGGGGUGUGAGAGCACGAGCCCGGAGACGGAAUCUGAGACAAGAUUCCGGGCCCUACGGGGCGCAGCAGGCGCGAAACCUUUACACUGCACGAAGGUGCGAUAAGGGGACUCCGAGUGCGAGGGCAUACAGUCCUCGCUAUUGUGUACCGUAGGGUGGUACACGACCAAGAGCUGGGCAAGACCGGUGCCAGCCGCCGCGGUAAUACCGGCAGCUCGAGUGAUGGCCGAUUUUAUUGGGCCUAAAGCGUCCGUAGCUGGCCCUGCAAGUCCGUCGGGAAAUCCACUCGCCUAACGAGUGGGCGUCCGGCGGAAACUACAGGGCUUGGGACCGGAAGACUUGAGGGGUACGUCUGGGGUAGGAGUGAAAUCCUGUAAUCCUGGACGGACCGCCGAUGGCGAAAGCACCUCAAGACGACGGAUCCGACAGUGAGGGACGAAAGCUAGGGUCUCGAACCGGAUUAGAUACCCGGGUAGUCCUAGCCGUAAACGAUGUUCGCUAGAUGUGGCACAGGCUACGUGCCUGUGCUGUGUCGUAGGGAAGCCGAGAAGCGAACCGCCUGGGAAGUACGUCCGCAAGGAUGAAACUUAAAGGAAUUGGCGGGGGAGCACUACAACCGGAGGAGCCUGCGGUUUAAUUGGAUUCAACGCCGG
RNAcentral lists this ribosomal RNA (794 nucleotides) under uncultured archaeon. RNAcentral describes it as "bacterial SSU rRNA". It matches the Rfam family "Archaeal small subunit ribosomal RNA", at positions 128 to 921 of the family's 1478-position model. The record is from RNAcentral.